RNAcentral lists this transfer RNA (63 nucleotides) under Coraebus diminutus. Its description in RNAcentral is "tRNA-Phe". It matches the Rfam family "tRNA". Rfam says of the family: Transfer RNA (tRNA) molecules are approximately 80 nucleotides in length. Their secondary structure includes four short double-helical elements and three loops (D, anti-codon, and T loops). Lineage: Eukaryota; Metazoa; Arthropoda; Insecta; Coleoptera; Buprestidae. The record is from RNAcentral.
AUUUAAAUAGCUUAAGUAAGAGCGUAACACUGAAAAUGUUAAGGUAACUGAGGUUUUUAAAUA